This 645-nucleotide ribosomal RNA is filed under the name Eucnemidae sp. UPOL RK0343. Its description in RNAcentral is "eukaryotic LSU rRNA". It matches the Rfam family "Eukaryotic large subunit ribosomal RNA", at positions 670 to 1259 of the family's 3401-position model. Lineage: Eukaryota; Metazoa; Arthropoda; Insecta; Coleoptera; Eucnemidae. The record is from RNAcentral.
GGAGUCUAGCAUGUGCGCGAGUCAUUGGGACUCUAUCGAAACCUAAAGGCGCAAUGAAAGUGAAGGCGCGCCUAGCGCGCGCCAAGGGAGGAUGGGUCGUGCAGAGUCGCGGCCCCGCACUCCCGGGGCGUCUCGUUCUCUCGUCGCCUCGUGCGGCGCUGAGUUGAGGCGCACCCAGAGCGUACACGCUGGGACCCGAAAGAUGGUGAACUAUGCCUGGUCAGGACGAAGUCAGGGGAAACCCUGAUGGAGGUCCGUAGCGAUUCUGACGUGCAAAUCGAUCGUAAGAACUGGGUAUAGGGGCGAAAGACUAAUCGAACCAUCUAGUAGCUGGUUCCCUCCGAAGUUUCCCUCAGGAUAGCUGGCGCUCGCUUUUUGCGAGUCUCAUCCGGUAAAGCGAAUGAUUAGAGGCAUUGGGGUCGAAACGGCCUCAACCUAUUCUCAAACUUUAAAUGGGUGAGAUCUCCGGCUUGCUUGAACGUUGAAGCCGCGAGAUCGGAUCAGAGUGCCAAGUGGGCCAUUUUUGGUAAGCAGAACUGGCGCUGUGGGAUGAACCAAACGCAGAGUUAAAGCGCCUAAAUCGACGCUUAUGGGAUACCAUGAAAGGCGUUGGUAACUUAAGACAGCAGGACGGUGGCCAUGGAA